This 478-nucleotide ribosomal RNA is filed under the name uncultured bacterium. RNAcentral describes it as "partial 16S ribosomal RNA". It matches the Rfam family "Bacterial small subunit ribosomal RNA", at positions 28 to 523 of the family's 1533-position model. The record is from RNAcentral.
GACGAACGCUGGCGGCGUGCUUAACACAUGCAAGUCGAACGGUAAGGCCCUUCGGGGUACACGAGUGGCGAACGGGUGAGUAACACGUGGGUGAUCUGCCCUGCACUUCGGGAUAAGCCUGGGAAACUGGGUCUAAUACCGGAUAGGACCCUGGGAUGCAUGUCCUGGGGUGGAAAGCUUUUGCGGUGUGGGAUGGGCCCGCGGCCUAUCAGCUUGUUGGUGGGGUGAUGGCCUACCAAGGCGACGACGGGUAGCCGGCCUGGGAGGGUGACCGGACACCAUGGGACUUAGAUACGGCCCAGACUCCUACGGGAGGCAGCAGUGGGGAAUAUUGCACAAUGGGCGCGAGCCUGAUGCAGCGAGGCCGCGUGAGGGAUGACGGCCUUCGGGUUGUAAACCUCUUUCAGCACCGACGAAGCGCAAGUGACGGUAGGUGCAGAAGAAGGACCGGCCAACUACGUGCCAGCCGCCGCCGUAA